GCCUUUUGUCUGUAAGUUAUGAAAGGUCGUACCUGCCCGGUGAUUGUGUAAGAAGCAAUUUAACGGCUGCGUAGUUGCACUAAGGUAGCAUAGUGGAUUGCCCUUUAAAUGGGGGAUGGAAUGAAAGGUUUGACAUGGGGAUGCUGUCUUUAGUUUAAUUGAUAGAAUUUUUUGUUUAAGUGAGAAAACUUAAGUUUUUGUAAAAGAAGAGAAGACCCUAUCGAACUUGAUUAGAGUUUUUCUGUUUAUUUCUAUUUGGUUGUAAAGUUUUCUUUUUAGGUUAAAGUUACUUGAAUUAGAAAAUAAAUCAAUUUAAAAAAGUGUUGAUUAAUUCGAAGUUUUAUUGGGGCAAUAGGAAGAAGUAAAAGAACUCUUCUCUUGAAUAAAGACCCUAUAUUAUAGUCUUAAGCAGAAGUUACCGUAGGGAUAACAGCGUUAACUUCCCUGCGAGGUCUUAUUAAAGGGAAGAAGUGCGACCUCGAUGUUGAAUUAGAGACGCUCCACGGUUGCAGAAGCUGUGAAAAGUGAAACUGUUCGUUUUUUAAUCCUCU
RNAcentral lists this ribosomal RNA (551 nucleotides) under Petricola lapicida. RNAcentral's name for it is "partial large subunit ribosomal RNA". It matches the Rfam family "Archaeal large subunit ribosomal RNA", at positions 1910 to 2666 of the family's 2987-position model. The record is from RNAcentral. Lineage: Eukaryota; Metazoa; Mollusca; Bivalvia; Venerida; Petricolidae.